AUCCUUAACUUUUCUUAUAUAUAUAUAUAUAUAUCAGGAUUAUAGUUUAAUCUAAAACAUUUGAUUUUUAUCUU
Molecule: transfer RNA, 74 nt
Filed under: Chilo suppressalis (striped riceborer)
Lineage: Eukaryota; Metazoa; Arthropoda; Insecta; Lepidoptera; Crambidae
Description: tRNA-Ala
Source: RNAcentral